Long non-coding RNA from Contarinia nasturtii (swede midge), 2422 nucleotides. RefSeq lists it as uncharacterized. NCBI's taxonomy places the organism in Eukaryota, Metazoa, Arthropoda, Insecta, Diptera, Cecidomyiidae. The record is from RefSeq and is a predicted model, not a curated record. The transcript has 5 exons.
UAUUUGAUUUUUUUCACGCCGAAACAUAACCAAGCAAACAGUGAUAAAGUGAAGAACGCGGAACUGAACAUAAUCAAGUUAAGUGUGAGAUAUAGUGAGCGCGUCUGAUCAAUACCGUUGUUUUGUUUUGCUUUUUAUUUUUCGUAUCAAUUUUUCGUGAAAAUGUCGCAAGAAGAGGACAAAAAAUUAUUAGAAGAUUUGGAAGCAUUAAAACAGAAAUUGAAUGGUUCAUCAAUUAAAGAUGUACUUAUUCCUGCUUUGGAUGAAAUGAUUGCCGCUUUGGACGAUACUUCGAAUUCCACAACAUCUUCUUCAAGUACGGCUUCAUCUUCUGAGGCACAGCUCUCUACUUCGAAUCAAGUACCAAAUAGUCCAGAAAAUGUUUUAAAUCCCAACCCGAGCCAAUCGAUUGAAUGUGAAGUAUGCCAUUAUUCAUAUUCAAACCUUCAAUAUCUUAAAAAUCAUCAAAGGGUCUUUGAAAAUAAAAAGAUUUGUUGCGUUUGCAAAAAACUAUUUGAAAGCGCGGAUAGUCUUAACAAACAUAUGGAGCUAUUUGGAAAAAAAUUCACUUGCUGCAUAUGUAGAAGAAAAAGAGAUGAUUCGGAUGCAUACAAAUUUUAUUCUCAUAUUGGCAACUGCAAGCGACUAAGGCGACUAUCAUUACAUUGAACGGCACAUAUAAGAACAAAAACUGAACACAUGACAAACAGGUGACAAAUUUCGCCCGUGCAAGAUUGGUUUAAUCAUUACUAACAACUAUUCGGCGAUUCUAUUGCGAUACAAUUGGAGUUCUUCAAAUGAUCGAUGACAAUCCACCAUAAGAGAAAAAGACGACUUUGAAAUGUCAUUCAAAAACAUCAUUACAUUCACAGUUAUACAAAGAUCACAAUUGCUGGCAUAACCGGUUAAAUUGAAGCGAAUCGAGUACCAAUAACUAGAUAAAAAGCAUCGAUCAUCACGGAGAAACAUUCGAACAAAGAAGCAAAAGAUUCCAAAUAGAUUGAUAUACAAUUUUUUAUUCACAUUUUGAUAUGUAAAAUUGAAAACAAAGUAUGCUGCAAAUAAAUGAAAUCAUAAUAGUUUUUCACGAAACAAAUCCCAAGUUUUUGUUUAUUUGAAAAAAAAAAAAAAAUGUGAAAACUUUUAAGGGGCGUAAUGAAAUGGACAGAAGUUGAAAUAAUGGCGCUACAUACGGCUACAUACAAAACGAAUUCGUUUCAACGUCAAUUUAUUCGCGCCAUGACAGAAUUGAACAUAACCAAGUAAAGAGUGAAAUAUAGUGAGCACGUCUCAUCGAUACCGUUGUUUUGUAUUUUAUUUAUUUUUCGUAUCAAUUUGUGGUGAAAAUGUCGCAAGAAGAGGACAACAAAUUAUUAGAAGAUGUGGAAGCCAAUGUUAAAGGGAAAUCGAAACGUGCAUCAAAUAAACGUGGAUUUAUAUAUAUGUUGGAAAAAGUACUCGCCGUUAUGGACGAUAGUGAAACUCCAUCAAUAACUGAUUCAAGUACGGCUUCAUCUCUUGAAGAACCUUCAUCUUCUGAAACACAGCCUUCAUCUCCUGAACGAUGGAUUAGAUGUGAAGCCUGCCAAUCUAAGUUACAGCAUUCAUUGCCUGAACCACAGCCUUCAUUGCCUGAACCACAGCCUUCAUUGCCUGAACCACAGCCUUCUACAUCGAAUCAAACACCAAAUAUCCCAGAACACAAUCCCAACUCGAGCCGAUCGAUUAAAUGUGAAGUUUGCCAUUCAAAAUUCGCAAACCUCAAAAAUCUUAAAAGUCAUCAAACGGAAUGCGAAAAUAAAAAGAUGUGUUGCGUUUGCCGACAACAGUUUAUUGACGUUGAUAGUCUUAACGAACAUACUGAGCAGUUUGCAAGAGAAUUGAAAUGCUGCAUGUGUGAAAGAAAAGGAGAUGAAUCGGAUGCAAACAAAUUUUGUUCUCAUAGUUACCAAUGCAAGCGACAAAGUCAGAUUUCGUCAUCAUCAUCAUCAUCACAAUGAACAGAACAUAAAACAACAAAAACUGAACACAUGACAAACAGGUGACAAACUGUGCCUGUGCAAAAAUUGGUUUAAUCAUUACUGACAACUUUCGGCGAUUCUGUUGCGAUACAAUUGGAGUAUUUUAAAUGAUCGAUGACAAUCCACCGGAAUGAGAAAAAGGGACGACUCUUAAAUGUCAUUCAGAAACAUUCACAGUUAUACAAAGAUCACAGUUGCUGGCAUAACCGGUUAAAUUGAAGCGAAUCGAGUACCAAUAACUAGAUAAAAAGCAUCGAUCAUUACGGAGAAACAUUCGAACAAAGAAGCAACAGAUUCCAAAUAGAUUGAUAUACAAAAUUUUAUUCGCAUUUUGAUAUGUAAAAUUGAAAGCAAAAUAUGCUGUAAAUAAAUGAAAUUAUAAUAAUUUUUCACGAAACAAA